ACGCUGGCGGCGUGCCUAAUACAUGCAAGUAGAACGCUGAAGCUUGGUGCUUGCACCGAGCGGAUGAGUUGCGAACGGGUGAGUAACGCGUAGGUAACCUGCCUCUUAGCGGGGGAUAACUAUUGGAAACGAUAGCUAAUACCGCAUAAAAGUCGACAUUGCAUGAUGUUGACUUGAAAGGUGCAAUUGCAUCACUAAGAGAUGGACCUGCGUUGUAUUAGCUAGUUGGUGAGGUAACGGCUCACCAAGGCGACGAUACAUAGCCGACCUGAGAGGGUGAUCGGCCACACUGGGACUGAGACACGGCCCAGACUCCUACGGGAGGCAGCAGUAGGGAAUCUUCGGCAAUGGGGGCAACCCUGACCGAGCAACGCCGCGUGAGUGAAGAAGGUUUUCGGAUCGUAAAGCUCUGUUGUAAGAGAAGAACGAGUGUGAGAGUGGAAAGUUCACACUGUGACGGUAACUUACCAGAAAGGGACGGCUAACUACGUGCCAGCAGCCGCGGUAAUACGUAGGUCCCGAGCGUUAUCCGGAUUUAUUGGGCGUAAAGCGAGCGCAGGCGGUUAGAUAAGUCUGAAGUUAAAGGCUGUGGCUUAACCAUAGUACGCUUUGGAAACUGUUUAACUUGAGUGCAGAAGGGGAGAGUGGAAUUCCAUGUGUAGCGGUGAAAUGCGUAGAUAUAUGGAGGAACACCGGUGGCGAAAGCGGCUCUCUGGUCUGUAACUGACGCUGAGGCUCGAAAGCGUGGGGAGCAAACAGGAUUAGAUACCCUGGUAGUCCACGCCGUAAACGAUGAGUGCUAGGUGUUGGGUCCUUUCCGGGACUCAGUGCCGCAGCUAACGCAUUAAGCACUCCGCCUGGGGAGUACGACCGCAAGGUUGAAACUCAAAGGAAUUGACGGGGGCCCGCACA
Molecule: ribosomal RNA, 912 nt
Filed under: uncultured bacterium
Lineage: Bacteria
Description: bacterial SSU rRNA
Rfam family: Bacterial small subunit ribosomal RNA
Source: RNAcentral